UUUACCCAAGUUAAAAAGAAAACAAUAGUUUAUUAUUUAUGUAUAGCUUUAAAACAAAUGUUUUCGAUAAAUUCCAGAAUGUAUUUCUAAAGUUUCCUAAUUAAAGUUUUGGUGUGGCAGCGUCGCGCGUGGGCGACACGAAAAGCGUCGGCCUUGGAUGCAACGCAAACCGAAAUGCCGGACGAGAAACAAAACGGCAUAAAAGACGGAAAGGGGCACCAAAAUAAACGUGUAAAUUACAUAUUCACAUAUUCAUACACCGAAUAAAUGAACACCGAAGCCA
Long non-coding RNA from Aethina tumida (small hive beetle), 283 nucleotides. RefSeq lists it as uncharacterized. The record is from RefSeq and is a predicted model, not a curated record. The transcript has 2 exons. Lineage: Eukaryota; Metazoa; Arthropoda; Insecta; Coleoptera; Nitidulidae.